Perognathus longimembris pacificus (Pacific pocket mouse) is the source of this 1080-nucleotide non-coding RNA. The record is from the annotation of a RefSeq genome assembly. Lineage: Eukaryota; Metazoa; Chordata; Mammalia; Rodentia; Heteromyidae.
AUGGAAUGUCCAAGCCACCACCAACCUCCCCAAGUCUACCUGCUGCCCCCUCCGCUUCAGGACCUGUGGUUCCGAGAGAAUGCCACCUUCACCUGCCUCAUGGUGGGGAAUGACCUACAGGAGGCCCACCUCUCCUGGGAGGUAGAUGGAAAGCCCCCCACCAGUGGUGUGAAGGAGGGGCUUCUGGAUCGGCUGGCCAAUGGAUCCCAGAGUCAGAGCAGUCACCUGGCCCUGCCUAGGUCCACGUGGGACAAGGGGACCCCCGUCACCUGCACCCUGAGCCAUGCCAGCCUACAGUCCCCAAAAGUGUUGACAUCAAUGAAGGAGCACGGAGCCCAGGCUCCCAGCAGCCUCUCUGUCAUCCUGCUCACCAUUCCAGUCUCUAUGGAGACAGCUUCAUGGCUCCUGUGCAUGGUGUCUGGCUUCUCCCCCACACACAUCCUCCUGAUGUGGCUGGAGGACCAGAAGGAGGUGGACUCUGCCUGGCUUACCUCUGCAAGUCCUAUGCCUCAAUCUGGCAACAUGACAUUCCAAACCUGGAGCGUCCUGCACAUCCCGGCCACCUCCAGCCCUUCUCCGGCCACUUACACGUGCGUGGUGGGGCACGAGGCCUCCCGGACCAUACUCAACGCCAGCAGGAGCCUGAACACCGGUGACCUGGUCACCACCACACCACUGGCCCCACAGACCCGAGAUGAGAACAGUGAUGACUACACAGACCUGGAGGAGGAGGGCGGCCUGUGGACCACUCUGUGCACCUUUGUGGCUCUGUUCCUCCUCACAUUGCUCUACAGUGGCUUUGUCACCUUCAUCAAGGUGAAGUAACCCCCAAACAGAAGAAUUUCCUGCAAUUGGAUUUGAGAAGAGGUCCACAGAGACAGCCUGUCCUGGAUGCCCUCCACACAUGGAGAUACCCCAGCCCUACCUCCCAGCUACCUUCUGUCCACCUAGCCUCACAGGCAAAUCCGGUGGGCUUUCUCAGCUGCAGGCAAGCAGGGUGUCCUGCUGGCCUGGCUUUGACUUGCACUGUCCCCUGCUCCCUUGAGAGCCAUUCUAGCUGUUGUUCCCCUUCCUCCCUCC